UACGGAGGGUGCGAGCGUUGUCCGGAAUCACUGGGCGUAAAGGGCGCGUAGGUGGCGCGACAAGUCAACGGUGAAAGCUCGGGGCUCAACCCCGAGUCGGCCGUCGAUACUGUUGGGCUCGAGCACUGUAGAGGCAGGUGGAAUUCCGGGUGUAGCGGUGGAAUGCGUAGAGAUCCGGAAGAACACCGGUGGCGAAGGCGGCCUGCUGGGCAGUAGCUGACACUGAGGCGCGACAGCGUGGGGAGCAAACAGG
RNAcentral lists this ribosomal RNA (253 nucleotides) under uncultured bacterium. RNAcentral's name for it is "partial 16S ribosomal RNA". It matches the Rfam family "Bacterial small subunit ribosomal RNA", at positions 524 to 776 of the family's 1533-position model. RNAcentral also lists the same sequence under 1 other name. The record is from RNAcentral.